CGUAGGUGGCAAGCGUUGUCCGGAUUUAUUGGGUUUAAAGGGUGCGUAGGCGGUCUUAUAAGUCAGUGCUGAAAUAUCCCGGCUUAACCGGGAGGGUGGCAUUGAUACUGUAGGACUUGAGUAAAGUUGAGGUUGGCGGAAUUGACGGUGUAGCGGUGAAAUGCUUAGAUAUCGUCAAGAACACCGAUAGUGUAGACAGCUAACUAAGCUUUAACUGACGCUGAGGCACGAAAGUGUGGGGAUCAAACAGGAUUAGAUACCCUGGUAGUCCACACUGUAAACGUUGAAGACUCGCUGUUGGCGAUACACAGUCAGCGGCUGAGAGAAAUCGUUAAGUCUUCCACCUGGGGAGUACGCCGGCAACGGUG
RNAcentral lists this ribosomal RNA (368 nucleotides) under uncultured organism. Its description in RNAcentral is "bacterial SSU rRNA". It matches the Rfam family "Bacterial small subunit ribosomal RNA", at positions 526 to 896 of the family's 1533-position model. The record is from RNAcentral.